RNAcentral lists this ribosomal RNA (497 nucleotides) under uncultured bacterium. Its description in RNAcentral is "partial 16S ribosomal RNA". It matches the Rfam family "Bacterial small subunit ribosomal RNA", at positions 28 to 507 of the family's 1533-position model. The record is from RNAcentral.
GACGAACGCUGGCGGCGUGCCUAAUACAUGCAAGUUGAGCGCUGAAGGUUGGUACUUGUACCAACUGGAUGAGCAGCGAACGGGUGAGUAACGCGUGGGGAAUCUGCCUUUGAGCGGGGGACAACAUUUGGAAACGAAUGCUAAUACCGCAUAAAAACUUUAAACACAAGUUUUAAGUUUGAAAGAUGCAAUUGCAUCACUCAAAGAUGAUCCCGCGUUGUAUUAGCUAGUUGGUGAGGUAAAGGCUCACCAAGGCGAUGAUACAUAGCCGACCUGAGAGGGUGAUCGGCCAAAUUGGGACUGAGACACGGCCCAAACUCCUACGGGGGGCAGCAGUAGGGAAUCUUCGGCAAUGGACGAAAGUCUGACCGAGCAACGCCGCGUGAGUGAAGAAGGGUUUCGGAUCGUAAAACUCUGUUGGUAGGGAAGAACGUUGGUGGGAGUGGAAAGCUCAUCAAGUGACGGUAACUACCCAGAAAGGGACGGCUAACUACGUG